Molecule: ribosomal RNA, 774 nt
Filed under: uncultured Neocallimastigales
Lineage: Eukaryota; Fungi; Neocallimastigomycota; Neocallimastigomycetes; Neocallimastigales
Description: partial large subunit ribosomal RNA
Rfam family: Eukaryotic large subunit ribosomal RNA
Source: RNAcentral
AUAUCAGUCAUGCAUAGCAUAUCAAUAAGCGGAGGAAAAGAAACUAACAAGGAUUCCCUUAGUAACGGCGAGUGAAGCGGGAAGAGCUCAAAUUUGAAAUCUUCAAGGUUUUACCUUGACGAAUUGUAGUUUAAAGAAGUGUUUUCUGUUGAAGCUUUGGUAAAAGUUCUUUGGAAUAGGACAUCAUAGAGGGUGAGAAUCCCGUAUUUGACCAUUACUUUCAGCUUUGUGAUACACUUUCAAAGAGUCGGAUUGUUUGGGAAUGCAGUCCAAAAUGGGUGGUAAAUUUCAUCUAAAGCUAAAUAUUGGCGAGAGACCGAUAGCGAACAAGUACCGUGAGGGAAAGAUGAGAAGAACUUUGAAAAGAGAGUUAAACAGUACGUGAAAUUGUCAAAAGGGAAGCGUUUGACACCAGUGUUGUUUUCUCGAAAAUCAAUUAAAAAGAGUUGGAUUUUGUGUUGUAUUGACUUUAUCGGCUUUCUUCACCUCUUUUCCAGCUUUUUUUAAUGCACUUUUCGUUUAACAAGUCAACAUCAGUUUCUUUUGUUGUAAAAAGGUCAUUGGAAGGUGGCUUUCUCUUCGGAGAAAGUGUUUAUAGCCUUUGACUCAUGCAAUCGGAGAGACUGAGGUCUGCAGCGUAGAUCCUUCGGGGUUAGAUACAUUUGUGCUAAGUUAUAGCUUUUCAUAGACAACUUGUUGACUAUGUUUAGUCUUGUAGCUUACUCGCUUAUGCUAUUUUACCUACGCUUAGGAUGUUGAACUCUAUCACACACA